GGCGGACGGGUGAGUAACGCGUAGGAAUCUACCUAGUAGAAGGGGAUAGCCCGGGGAAACUCGGAUUAAUACCGUAUACCCCCUAAGGGAGAAAGAGGGCCUCUCUUGAUGCUCUCGCUAUUAGAUGAGCCUGCGUAAGAUUAGCUUGUUGGUAAGGUAAUGGCUUACCAAGGCUACGAUCUUUAGCUGGUCUGAGAGGACGAUCAGCCACAUUGGGACUGAGACACGGCCCAGACUCCUACGGGAGGCAGCAGUGGGGAAUAUUGGACAAUGGGCGCAAGCCUGAUCCAGCCAUACCGCGUGUGUGAAGAAGGCCUUCGGGUUGUAAAGCACUUUAAGCAGGGAGAAAGAGCAAUAAGUUAAUACCUUAUUGCCGUGAUGUUACCUGCAGAAUAAGCACCGGCUAAUUCCGUGCCAGCAGCCGCGGUAAUACGGAAGGUGCAAGCGUUAAUCGGAAUUACUGGGCGUAAAGCGCGCGUAGGUGGUUUGUUAAGUUGGAUGUGAAAGCCCUGAGCUCAACCUAGGAACUGCAUCCAAAACUAACUCACUAGAGUACGAUAGAGGGAGGUAGAAUUCAUAGUGUAGCGGUGGAAUGCGUAGAUAUUAUGAAGAAUACCAGUGGCGAAGGCGGCCUCCUGGAUCUGUACUGACACUAAGGUGCGAAAGCGUGGGUAGCGAACAGGAUUAGAUACCCUGGUAGUCCACGCCGUANACGAUGACAACUAGCUGUUGGGAGACAAUGUCUUUCAGUGGCGCAGCUAACGUUUUAAGUUGUC
Molecule: ribosomal RNA, 776 nt
Filed under: uncultured marine bacterium
Lineage: Bacteria
Description: bacterial SSU rRNA
Rfam family: Bacterial small subunit ribosomal RNA
Source: RNAcentral